AGCAAGGUGCAUCAGUUGGAAAUGUUGGAAAAACAUAAAUUUGAAGAGAGAAAGAUUGCUAAUCUAGUUGCAUUGUCAUCAGCCACAUGAAAGAGUUUAUCGACUCUAUACAAUAUGAUUUGGUUAACUGACUUUGGAAUGAAGAAGGGUAUUUUGAAGAAUCUCAAAUUGAGAAUUUAGUAGUAGAUUUAAUGUCGGGAUUUAUUAAAAAGAUAUUUUGAUCUUGUAAGCAUUAGUUUGUGUUUCAUACUUUUGUAAUUCCGUAUACUUGAACGGGUUGUUGGGUUGUGUAAUACUAGUUAACUUUUGUUGUGA
This is a long non-coding RNA of Helianthus annuus (common sunflower), 315 nucleotides long. RefSeq lists it as uncharacterized. The transcript has 2 exons. The record is from RefSeq and is a predicted model, not a curated record. NCBI's taxonomy places the organism in Eukaryota, Viridiplantae, Streptophyta, Magnoliopsida, Asterales, Asteraceae.